CCAAUAUAAUCUAUUUAUAUUAUAACAAAAAUUGAAACUUCAUAUAAACCUAGGAAACAAUAAUAACAAAAGUCAUUCUAAAAGGGAGAGCAAAAGCCGUAAAAUUGUUAUUUCGAAGCCAUUACCCCGCUUAUCCUGAACAAUCAACAUCUUAGGAUUUCAGCGUUUAUAAGGCAGGUUAAUACUUUAAAACGUAGAAGGAGAAGGCAUAUUUGAGAUUUGGAUAAAGAAAGAGAAAAGAGGAAUAGGAUUUUACUCGAACAGGAUCAGAUCUCCCAUGGCUUUUUGAUAAAAGUGUUUUAGGGUUUGGAUGAGAGAUGAAGCGACAACAAUGGUGGUUAGAGUGUGAGAGAGAGAGCAUUUGAGACUAAUUUGACAAAUCAUUGGUUGACA
RNAcentral lists this long non-coding RNA (393 nucleotides) under Jatropha curcas. RNAcentral's name for it is "long non-coding RNA (JCUR_LNC000238)". The record is from RNAcentral. Lineage: Eukaryota; Viridiplantae; Streptophyta; Magnoliopsida; Malpighiales; Euphorbiaceae.